This 19-nucleotide small nuclear RNA is filed under the name Arabidopsis thaliana (thale cress). RNAcentral's name for it is "snRNA_04130". Lineage: Eukaryota; Viridiplantae; Streptophyta; Magnoliopsida; Brassicales; Brassicaceae. The record is from RNAcentral.
GGUUCCCUCCGAAGUUUCC